Molecule: transfer RNA, 83 nt
Filed under: Listeria monocytogenes
Lineage: Bacteria; Bacillati; Bacillota; Bacilli; Caryophanales; Listeriaceae
Description: transfer RNA-Arg
Rfam family: tRNA (bases 1-74)
About the family: Transfer RNA (tRNA) molecules are approximately 80 nucleotides in length. Their secondary structure includes four short double-helical elements and three loops (D, anti-codon, and T loops). Further hydrogen bonds mediate the characteristic L-shaped molecular structure. tRNAs have two regions of fundamental functional importance: the anti-codon, which is responsible for specific mRNA codon recognition, and the 3' end, to which the tRNAs corresponding amino acid is attached (by aminoacyl-tRNA synthetases). tRNAs cope with the degeneracy of the genetic code in two manners: having more than one tRNA (with a specific anti-codon) for a particular amino acid; and 'wobble' base-pairing, i.e. permitting non-standard base-pairing at the 3rd anti-codon position.
Source: RNAcentral
GUCCUGAUAGCUCAGCUGGAUAGAGCAACGGCCUUCUAAGCCGUCGGUCGGGGGUUCGAAUCCCUCUCAGGACGUAAUAUGAA